Molecule: small nucleolar RNA, 117 nt
Filed under: Sorex araneus (European shrew)
Lineage: Eukaryota; Metazoa; Chordata; Mammalia; Eulipotyphla; Soricidae
Description: Small nucleolar RNA SNORA32 (ENSSARG00000016294.1)
Rfam family: Small nucleolar RNA SNORA32
About the family: ACA32 is a member of the H/ACA class of snoRNA that guide the sites of modification of uridines to pseudouridines.
Source: RNAcentral
UGGUCAUUACCAAGGCGUUUUUAGAAGACAGUUUCUGAAUUGAUGUGGACAUCACUUUAAAGAAGAUGCCUCAUUAGGUUUGUCUUCGGCUAUUUUGCUAGAAACCCAUGAAAAUUA